GGUUAUUCAUUAAUGAUACAGUGAUGUCGGACAUCAAGAGACCUACAUUGCAGUCCAUGCUUGUAGGGUUGCUACAAUAUCUGUGAAACUUUCAUAGAAAAUUCAACUCUGCUAAUCAUUUAUUCACCAGUAAAAAUAGGGGUAUUGGGCUAGAAUAGAGGUGAACAAACUAUAGCCCAUAGGCUAAAUCCAGACCAUCACCUGAUUUUGUAUGGCC
Molecule: long non-coding RNA, 217 nt
Filed under: Homo sapiens (human)
Lineage: Eukaryota; Metazoa; Chordata; Mammalia; Primates; Hominidae
Description: HSALNT0329458
Source: RNAcentral